GACGAACGCUGGCGGCGUGCUUAACACAUGCAAGUCGAACGAUGAACCAUUUCGGUGGGGAUUAGUGGCGAACGGGUGAGUAACACGUGGGCAAUCUGCCCUGCACUCUGGGACAAGCCCUGGAAACGGGGUCUAAUACCGGAUGAUACCUGCUCUCGCAUGGGGGUGGGUUGAAAGACUCCGGCGGUGCAGGAUGAGCCCGCCGGCCUAUCAGCUUGUUGGUGGGGUGGANGGCCUACCAAGGCGACGACGGGUAGCCGGCCUGAGAGGGCGACCGGCCACACUGGGACUGAGACACGGCCCACGACUCCUACGGGAGGCAGCAGUGGGGAAGUAUUGCACAAUGGGCGGGAAGCCUGAUGCAGCGACGCCGCGUGAGGGAU
RNAcentral lists this ribosomal RNA (383 nucleotides) under uncultured bacterium. RNAcentral describes it as "bacterial SSU rRNA". It matches the Rfam family "Bacterial small subunit ribosomal RNA", at positions 28 to 409 of the family's 1533-position model. The record is from RNAcentral.